RNAcentral lists this ribosomal RNA (253 nucleotides) under uncultured bacterium. RNAcentral's name for it is "partial 16S ribosomal RNA". It matches the Rfam family "Bacterial small subunit ribosomal RNA", at positions 524 to 776 of the family's 1533-position model. The record is from RNAcentral.
UACGGUGGGGGCAAGCGUUGUUCGGAAUUACUGGGCGUAAAGGGCUCGUAGGCGGCCAACUAAGUCAGACGUGAAAUCCCUCGGCUUAACCGGGGAACUGCGUCUGAUACUGGAUGGCUUGAGAUUGGGAGAGGGAUGCGGAAUUCCAGGUGUAGCGGUGAAAUGCGUAGAUAUCUGGAGGAACACCCGUGGCGAAGGCGGCUCUCUGGUCCGAAACUGACGCUGAGGUGCGAAAGCUAGGGUAGCAAACAGG